UUAAGCGACUAAGCGUACACGGUGGAUGCCCUGGCAGUCAGAGGCGAUGAAGGACGUGCUAAUCUGCGAAAAGCGCCGGCGAGGUGAUAUGAACCCUUGACCCGGCGAUGUCCGAAUGGGGAAACCCAGUGCAAUCCGUUGCACUAUCGUUAACUGAAUACAUAGGUUAACGAGGCGAACCGGGGGAACUGAAACAUCUAAGUACCCCGAGGAAAAGAAAUCAACCGAGAUUCCCCCAGUAGCGGCGAGCGAACGGGGAGCAGCCCGGAGUCUGAAUCAGCUUGUGUGUUAGUGGAACGGUCUGGAAAGUCCGACGGUACAGGGUGAUAGUCCCGUACACGAAAGCACACAUGCUGUGAACUCGAAGAGUAGGGCGGGACACGUGGUAUCCUGUCUGAAUAUGGGGGGACCAUCCUCCAAGGCUAAAUACUCCUGACUGACCGAUAGUGAACCAGUACCGUGAGGGAAAGGCGAAAAGAACCCCGGCGAGGGGAGUGAAAAAGAACCUGAAACCGUGUACGUACAAGCAGUGGGAGCCUCUUUAUGGGGUGACUGCGUACCUUUUGUAUAAUGGGUCAGCGACUUAUAUUCUGUAGCAAGGUUAACCGUAUAGGGGAGCCGAAGGGAAACCGAGUCUUAACUGGGCGUUAAGUUGCAGGGUAUAGACCCGAAACCCGGUGAUCUAGCCAUGGGCAGGUUGAAGGUUGGGUAACACUAACUGGAGGACCGAACCGACUAAUGUUGAAAAAUUAGCGGAUGACCUGUGGCUGGGGGUGAAAGGCCAAUCAAACCGGGAGAUAGCUGGUUCUCCCCGAAAGCUAUUUAGGUAGCGCCUCGUGAACUCAUCUUCGGGGGUAGAGCACUGUUUCGGCUAGGGGGCCAUCCCGGCUUACCAACCCGAUGCAAACUACGAAUACCGAAGAAUGUUAUCACGGGAGACACACGGCGGGUGCUAACGUCCGUCGUGAAGAGGGAAACAACCCAGACCGCCAGCUAAGGUCCCAAAGUCAUGGUUAAGUGGGAAACGAUGUGGGAAGGCACAGACAGCCAGGAUGUUGGCUUAGAAGCAGCCAUCAUUUAAAGAAAGCGUAAUAGCUCACUGGUCGAGUCGGCCUGCGCGGAAGAUGUAACGGGGCUAAACCAUGCACCGAAGCUGCGGCAGCGACACUAUGUGUUGUUGGGUAGGGGAGCGUUCUGUAAGCCGUUGAAGGUGUGCUGUGAGGCAUGCUGGAGGUAUCAGAAGUGCGAAUGCUGACAUAAGUAACGAUAAAGCGGGUGAAAAGCCCGCUCGCCGGAAGACCAAGGGUUCCUGUCCAACGUUAAUCGGGGCAGGGUGAGUCGACCCCUAAGGCGAGGCCGAAAGGCGUAGUCGAUGGGAAACAGGUUAAUAUUCCUGUACUUGGUGUUACUGCGAAGGGGGGACGGAGAAGGCUAUGUCAGCCGGGCGACGGUUGUCCCGGUUUAAGCAUGUAGGCGGAGGUUCCAGGUAAAUCCGGUACCUUAUUAACGCUGAGGUGUGAUGACGAGGCACUACGGUGCUGAAGUGAUAAAUGCCCUGCUUCCAGGAAAAGCCUCUAAGCAUCAGGUAACACGAAAUCGUACCCCAAACCGACACAGGUGGUCAGGUAGAGAAUACCAAGGCGCUUGAGAGAACUCGGGUGAAGGAACUAGGCAAAAUGGUGCCGUAACUUCGGGAGAAGGCACGCUGAUGUGUAGGUGAAGUCCCUGCGGACGGAGCUGAAAUCAGUCGAAGAUACCAGCUGGCUGCAACUGUUUAUUAAAAACACAGCACUGUGCAAACACGAAAGUGGACGUAUACGGUGUGACGCCUGCCCGGUGCCGGAAGGUUAAUUGAUGGGGUUAGCGGCAACGCGAAGCUCUUGAUCGAAGCCCCGGUAAACGGCGGCCGUAACUAUAACGGUCCUAAGGUAGCGAAAUUCCUUGUCGGGU
RNAcentral lists this ribosomal RNA (1950 nucleotides) under human gut metagenome. RNAcentral's name for it is "bacterial LSU rRNA". It matches the Rfam family "Bacterial large subunit ribosomal RNA", at positions 1 to 1977 of the family's 2925-position model. The record is from RNAcentral.